This 1152-nucleotide ribosomal RNA is filed under the name Triticum aestivum (bread wheat). Its description in RNAcentral is "partial small subunit ribosomal RNA". Lineage: Eukaryota; Viridiplantae; Streptophyta; Magnoliopsida; Poales; Poaceae. The record is from RNAcentral.
AUGAAGUUCUCUGAGGAAGAAGUCACCUUGCACCUGCGCAUUCUCGGAGGUGAUGAACGGACGGUUGCGCCGGCACGGCAGUCUUCCAUCUUCGCGCUCACGUUGGACGGGCUGCAAUACUCGGUGUGUGAGGCAGGUCGCAACUUUGGGUCCAUGAACAUGGACGAGUUCACGAGCAACAUAUGGAAUGCCAAGGAGUUCCAAGCGGCGACCGGCGGUGUCUUGGUGGGCAUGGAGGUGGCUCCUGUUGUGGGUGCUGGUGGAGGCGGAGGUAGCGAAGAUGCAGGAGGAAGCAAGCUAGCCUGGCACGAGUCGUUCUCCUUGCCUCCCCCGCUGUGCCGGAAGACGGUGGAGGAGGUGUGGGCUAAGAUCAACAGGGAGCCCCACCCAGUGCAUUCCCGGCCCUCGCCGCAGAUUCCCGUCCAGCCACCACCGGGCAACGGUGGUGCGGUUGCGGCGAACGACCAGCAGGGGACGUUUGGAGAGAUGACGCUGGAGCAGUUCCUUGUCAAGGCCGGCGUGGUCCGGGGAUCUGGCACCGACGGCCAGGCGCAUGUGCCGGUCGGCAUGGUCCAUGGACAGAUGAACCCUGUGCAGCAGGGGCAGCAGCCUGGCCCAAUGAUGUACCCGAUGGCACCGGCCAACGACACGUUCCUGGUGAUGGGCGACGACAUGGGGUUCAUCCCCAACGGGUACGCAGGGAUGGUCGUGGUGCCGCCGCCACCACCUCCUCAAGGUGCGGUGGGUAUCAUGAGCCCAGGGUCAUCGGACGGGAGGAGCUCCAUGACACAGGUUGACAUGAUGAACUGCAUGGGCGACGGAGCGAUGAUGGAGAACGGCGGCGCCCGGAAGCGCGGCGCUCCGGAGGAUCAGUCCUGUGAGAGUAGUAAUGAGCACCACCACCGCCGCAUGAUCAAGAACCAUGAGUCAGCCGCACAAUCGUGCGCCAGGAAACAGGCUUAUACCGUGGAGCUUGAAACCGAACUGAACCACCUCAAGGAGGAGAACGCUUGCCUCAAAGCUGAGGAGAAGACGAUUUUGCUGACCAAGAAACAAAUGCUAGUGGAGAAGAUGAUGGAGCGGUCCAAGGAGAAUGUGAACGCGAAGAAGGGUGGCGCCCUGUCGCGGCGCUGCGGCAGCUGCAUCUGGUGA